RNAcentral lists this ribosomal RNA (451 nucleotides) under uncultured Fibrobacter sp. RNAcentral's name for it is "partial 16S ribosomal RNA". It matches the Rfam family "Bacterial small subunit ribosomal RNA", at positions 341 to 792 of the family's 1533-position model. Lineage: Bacteria; Pseudomonadati; Fibrobacterota; Fibrobacteria; Fibrobacterales; Fibrobacteraceae. The record is from RNAcentral.
ACGGGAGGCAGCAGUAGGGAAUAUUGCACAAUGGGGGGAACCCUGAUGCAGCAACGCCACGUGUGGGAAGAAGCAUUUCGGUGUGUAAGCCACUGUCGUGAGGGAAUAAUGCUUGGUCUCGGCCAAGUUGAAUGUACCUCGAAAGGAAGCACCGGCAAACUUCGUGCCAGCAGCCGCGGUAAUACGAGGGGUGCAAGCGUUGUUCGGAAUCACUGGGCGUAAAGGGAGCGCAGGCGGAGAUGCAAGCAGUCUGUACAAUACCGGGGCCCAACCCCGGACCUGCAGACUGGACUGUUUCUCUUGGAUAGUUCAGGGGCAAGCGGAAUUCCUGGUGUAGCGGUGGAAUGCGUAGAGAUCAGGAAGAACACCGAUGGCGAAGGCAGCCAGCUGGGGGCUUAUCGACGCUCAUGCUCGAAAGUGCGGGUAGCAAACAGGAUUAGAUACCCUGGUA